Long non-coding RNA from Xiphophorus hellerii (green swordtail), 3420 nucleotides. RefSeq lists it as uncharacterized. The transcript is spliced from 2 exons. Lineage: Eukaryota; Metazoa; Chordata; Actinopteri; Cyprinodontiformes; Poeciliidae. The record is from RefSeq and is a predicted model, not a curated record.
UUAUUCUGAACAAACUUUAUAAAAUAUAACAAUAUAGUUUCAAUCUCAGCAGGAUGUUUUUUUUCUGUUUCUGUUUUCACAGAUUUAAUGCACAGCAACAUGCUGCAUUCAUAAUUAAUAUCUAUUUUCUGCUUGUUGUUUAUUUUUGCCUAAAUUUUCACUUCAUGCCAACAAAGCAGGAAAAACCCACUGAUGGAUUUUGGUUGGUCAUUUGUCUCUAACAGCAGCUGACAGCCAGUUGCUGGGCAGAAACGGCUCUGAACCUGGUCAGCGACUAAACAGAAGGAGAAUCUGAUUUAUGGCAGGUUUUCAUUUCUACCAAUGAAGGAAGAGCUGGAGGUGAAAACCAGCAGGAAUCCCAGAAAACUUUAGAAAAACUGAAAACGUUGCAGCGAUUUCUGGGUCAAAGGAAGGAAAACAGUAGAAAACAACUGGAUCAUCAGGGUUCUUUGACCUUUCACCUUUUGGUUUGUUUCUGGGAAAACUUUGCACUUAGUCACACACACACACACACCCCCACACACACACACACACACCAACACACACACACACACACACACACACACCCACCUGGUUGUUUCAUCAGUGUUGCUGCUUCACUGCCUGUUUCUAUCAGUGGUGGGCCGUCAGGACCUGCAAGGCCUUCUCUGCUGGCCUAAAAAUAUCUGAAUCACAGACUAAUGUUAAUUAUAUUUUGUCCAUGAAUACGUAUUAAAUAAAUCCAAAUGGUCUGUCUGCUUCCUGUCAUUGUUAGCCCCCUGGCUGCUGCUUCCAGACGUGUAUUUUCAUUUUUAAGCAUUUAGCCAAUCACAUUUCAGCCGCUAUUUGUUGCCAGGGUCAAAGAAAUCUGCCUGGAGGCCUUCACAAUCAGUUCUGCAGCAUAAAAUAAAUGUUGGUCAAACUGUUGCUUCAACCAAUCAGAUUUUGAGUUGGCGACACCAAGGCGCUCUAGCAGGUGUACGGGUUACGUAUUCACACGCUCUGAUUGGAUAGUCAGAGUGUACUAGCCAUUAGCUUGGACGGCGAUAGAAAAGGACUUCUUCAUGGAACUGAAACACACAGAUAAUCUGCACAACAGAGUAACUGAAAUCUUCUUGAGGACAGAAAGGAGGAUGGAUUUUGUGUACAAAUAAUCAGGAUUUUUGCUGUAGAAGUUUUAUAGCCAUAAAAUAGUUAUUGAGGGUUGGAUUGAUGCAGACGGAGCAUUACUGAAGGCCUGGGAGUGAAAUGCACGGCCCACCACUGGUUUCUAAUCGCUGCUGCAGCGAAACGCCGGCGUCUGGAUGAAACCUCAACCUGGUGAAAUCCUGCAGCUCUCAGGUUCUACAGAAAUCUGUUCAGUUCUGGACACGACCUCAUUCCUGAGCCCAUCAGACUUUUAUUAUGUUUACAGCUGAGAUGAGGUGGCAGUAAAACUAAAGACAGAAACACUUUCCAGGCUCAGAGGAGAAACUGGAAACUGGUCCCAGUUGAUGAUGAAACGAUGCUGGAAGAAAAUCUGAGAGACGAUUUAAACUCUGAAUCAUUUUCAUUUCUCCUCACAGUGAAGAUCUGCUGGUGUUGGUUUAUAGAAUAAAAUUAAUAAACAUGUUUGGAGGGAGAAGUGAUAAAACCUGAGAAACUUCAAACAAACAGAAACUGGAAACAUGAAGCUGUUAACGUCACAUUAAUGAUUUAACCAGAGGAGAAAAGAUAAAACAUUCAGAAACAAGUUAAAUAUGUAAAUAAAGUUUUAAAUCACAGAAGAACCAGAUUUAUAACUAAUGAUCCGGAGGAUUAAUCUGAGUGUGUUCGAUCAAUAAUCAGUUAUCAGUGGGAACGCCCUCAGGCUGUAAACUCACAGUCUGGAUGAGGAUCCGGUUUGAUCCGAUCCGACCUGCAGAGGAGGAAUUCCAGCAGAACCUCUGAUCAGAACCUCUGAGUGAUUCUGACUCGGUUUCAGUUCUUCACGUUCAGGUCGGUUCUGUUGUUUCCAUUUCUGGUGUUUAGUCUCCAGAUUCGGACUCAGCUGCUCUUCAUUCUGCAGAUUAACUUCACCUGUUUCUCAGCCACAAUAAACCAGUUAUGAAAUAAACAUGAAGCAAUAAAUACAUAAUAAACAUCUGAAAACUUUUGCAUUACUGAGAGGACAGUGAUGUUGUAAUUUAAUUUCUUUAUUUUUGGUUCAUGUGUUUUUAAAUAAAGUCAAACCAAAAACCUUCUCAGAUAAACUAAACUCUGAAACAGUUUUUAUGUUUCUGAUUUUCAUCAGGUUGUUUAAAAUCAUGAUGUUUAACUCAGAUGGUUGAUAAAAAUAACUUCCUGCACAUUCAGUCACUAAACAUUUCCAGGUUUCAACAGAACAUGUUAGAGAUUAAAAAGUUACUUUUUAUUCUUUUUAUGAGACAUUAAAGUUUUAAAAUCAGUGAAUCUAAAAUGUUUUAAACGUUAAAUUUUUCACUACAGAGAUGAAGUUUGAUGCAAGCGCAGAAAAAAAAGAAAUGUUUAAAUUAGUUUAAAUUAUUUACAUUUUAUUCUGACUUUAUUAAUAUCACUGUGAUCAUAAAUGAUGUUUCUGAUGUUUGCAGCUGGUUUUGUGGUUCUGUUGGGUCCAGAAGGAGAGAAAAGUUCUGCUUCAGGGGAUCAAUGGAGUUAAAUUAAAUUAAAUUCACAGGAAGGUCAGAAAACUUUCCAGUGUCACAAUAAUCCAGAUUAUUGAUGGAAUUCUGGGUAAAAACCAGAGAAGGGAAACGGAUCCGUCUGCAUUUUAAUCCAGGUGUUGAAGAGUUUAAGGUUUAUGUCCAUAAUAAAUAUUUAUGAAGCUUUGAACCGUUAUAGUUUCAGGACGACCUUCAUCACAGAAAACAGAAAAACUUUUAAUCUGCAUUUCUGAGGUUUUUCUCAGCUUUAUGAUUUCACUCCUAGUUUCUUGUUUUUAUACAUUUUCUGUUUUAGUUUUAUUUCUGCCUAAUAAUUUUAUGCUGCAGUUUCUGAUUUCACUGUAAAAAUACAAACAAAAAAAACCUGUUAUAAUAAUAAAUGUUCUGAUCAGCAGGUUACAUAGAAACAGUUUUAAUUCACUUCAUCACAGGUUGAGUAUAGACUCAGAGCAGACAGAAGGUUUUCACUGAAUGAAUGAAUGAAUGAACGAACGAACGAACGAACGAACGAAUGAAUCACACGUUCAUCAGUCUCAGCGCUGCUGGUGUCUGAAUGAGUUGUGACACCUGGACCAGGUGUUUAACUGUCCAUGUACAGAUUGCUCUAGGCCGGCCUAGUCAAAGUCCAGGGCUGUUUUACUCUGUCAGGUCUUACUGUGGGAUGUUAUGAUUAAAUCCAGGUUUCUGAUUUAAGUGUCUCUUUCUUGUCCUCUGAUGGUUUCUGACAGUUUUCUGUUUUCAUUUUGAUUGAAACUUUUUAUUAAAAUAUGAUUGUUUUCGU